ACGCUCGACACCUACGGGGGGCAGCAGUGGGGAAUAUUGCACAAUGGGGGAAACCCUGAUGCAGCGACGCCGCGUGAGCGAAGAAGUAUUUCGGUAUGUAAAGCUCUAUCAGCAGGGAAGAAACUGACGGUACCUGACUAAGAAGCACCGGCUAAAUACGCGCCAGCAGCCGCGGUAAUCUGAGCGGGCUGGCAAGGC
RNAcentral lists this ribosomal RNA (198 nucleotides) under uncultured bacterium. RNAcentral's name for it is "partial 16S ribosomal RNA". It matches the Rfam family "Bacterial small subunit ribosomal RNA", at positions 328 to 539 of the family's 1533-position model. The record is from RNAcentral.